This 452-nucleotide ribosomal RNA is filed under the name uncultured Leptolinea sp. RNAcentral describes it as "bacterial SSU rRNA". It matches the Rfam family "Bacterial small subunit ribosomal RNA", at positions 917 to 1382 of the family's 1533-position model. Lineage: Bacteria; Bacillati; Chloroflexota; Anaerolineae; Anaerolineales; Anaerolineaceae. The record is from RNAcentral.
GGGCCCGCACAAGCAGCGGAGCGUGUGGUUUAAUUCGAUGUUACACGAAGAACCUUACCAGGGUUUGACAUGCAAGUGGUAGGAAGCCGAAAGGUGACCGACCCUUCGGGGAGCUUGCACAGGUGCUGCAUGGCUGUCGUCAGCUCGUGUCGUGAGAUGUUCGGUUAAGUCCGCUAACGGGCGCAACCCUCGCUGUGUGUUAUAUGUGUCACACGGGACUGCCGGUCUUAAGCCGGAGGAAGGUGGGGAUGAUGUCAAGUCAGCAUGGCCUUUAUAUCCUGGGCUACAAACGUACUACAAUGGCCAAUACAAAGAGAUGCGAAGCGGUGACGUGGAGCGAACCUCAGAAAGUUGGUCUCAGUUCAGAUUGAAGUCUGCAACUCGACUUCAUGAAGGCGGAAUCGCUAGUAAUCGCGGGUCAGCAGACCGCGGUGAAUACGUUCCCGGGUUUU